CCUACGGGUGGCAGCAGUGGGGAAUAUUGGACAAUGGGCGAAAGCCUGAUCCAGCCAUGCCGCGUGUGUGAAGAAGGCCUUCGGGUUGUAAAGCACUUUCAGUGGGGAAGAAAGCCUUGGGGCUAAUACCCUCGAGGAAGGACAUCACCCACAGAAGAAGCACCGGCUAACUCCGUGCCAGCAGCCGCGGUAAUACGGAGGGUGCGAGCGUGAAUCGGAAUUACUGGGCGUAAAGCGCGCGUAGGCGGUCUGAUAAGCCGGUUGUGAAAGCCCCGGGCUCAACCUGGGAACGGCAUCCGGAACUGUCAGGGUAACGUGCAGGAGAGGCAGGUAGAAUUCCCGGUGUAGCGGUGAAAUGCGUAGAGAUCGGGAGGAAUACCCGUGGCGAAGGCGGCCUUCUGGACUGACACUGACGCUGAGGUGCGAAAGCGUGGGUAGCAAACAGGAUUAGAUACCCGAGUAGUC
RNAcentral lists this ribosomal RNA (465 nucleotides) under Vreelandella stevensii. Its description in RNAcentral is "partial 16S ribosomal RNA". It matches the Rfam family "Bacterial small subunit ribosomal RNA", at positions 338 to 795 of the family's 1533-position model. The record is from RNAcentral. Lineage: Bacteria; Pseudomonadati; Pseudomonadota; Gammaproteobacteria; Oceanospirillales; Halomonadaceae.